Pelobates cultripes (western spadefoot toad) is the source of this 398-nucleotide non-coding RNA. NCBI's taxonomy places the organism in Eukaryota, Metazoa, Chordata, Amphibia, Anura, Pelobatidae. The record is from the annotation of a GenBank genome assembly.
GUGUAGGUGGAAGCAGCGGUGGAGGAGGAGGAUGUGGUAGCCAACACUGUUUUUUAUAUGUAUAUAUAUAUAUAUUUUUUUUUAAUUGGGGUAGCCCCCAAAAUAUUGGGACAUAUAAUAAAAGACAACUCUGUUCCGCAGAGUAGCUGUUGACAUUAUAGUUGCGCAGGCACUUUGCUGACUCUAGAGAACCUCGGGCAAUCGCACAUCCCCGUGGCGGCGACUUUGCAUGCAGAUGUCAUCCAUAUCAACUUUCGAUGCCAGUUUCUGCGCCUACCAUGGUGACCACGGGUAACGGGGAAUCAGGGUUCCAUUCCAUACAGGGACCCUGAGAAAUGGCUACCUCAUGCAAGGAAGGCAGCAGGCGCGCAAAUGACCCACUCCCGACGCGGGAAGGA